RNAcentral lists this ribosomal RNA (653 nucleotides) under Megalopta furunculosa. RNAcentral's name for it is "eukaryotic LSU rRNA". The record is from RNAcentral. Lineage: Eukaryota; Metazoa; Arthropoda; Insecta; Hymenoptera; Halictidae.
AAAGAUCGAAUGGGGAGAUUCAUCGAUAACGAGGCUCGGCUUCCGUUGGCGUGCGAUACCCCGAAUGGUUCCCUUCGUGGAUGCCAAUGCGAGGGCACACCGUCUUCGGCAAAUGUUCCGGCAACGUAGUCGUGCACUUCUCCCCUUGUAGAACGUCGCGACCCGUUGCGUGUCGGUCUACGGCACGAGUUGUUGACUGUCGGCGUCGUCUUCGCGCGUACACGACAGACGCUCGAUCGCCCGGCCGGCUGCGUGACGGUACACUAUUUUACGGUAUUGGGCCGCAACUUGCUCCAUUUUCGAAUGUAUUUGCGUUCAGGCCCGCCGCAAGCUCGGUUAGUAAAUUACCCGGAUGGUACGGACCUGGUGCCGGCUCCGGGCCUAGCCAGCUGUUGGCAGGCGGUGUCCUCGAACUGGCCAACCUUUCUUGAAUCACAUUACCGGUCAGCGACGCUACUGCUUUGGGUACUUUCAGGACCCGUCUUGAAACACGGACCAAGGAGUCUAACAUGUGCGCGAGUCAUUGGGACUCGAAUUAAACCUAAAGGCAUAAUGAAAGUGAAAGUUGACCUUUGCGUCGACCGAGGGAGGAUGGGCCGCGUCACGAUGCGGCCUCGCACUCCCGGGGCGUCUCGUUGUCAUAGCGAGAAGAG